GGAAUCUUCCACAAUGGACGAAAGUCUGAUGGAGCAACGCCGCGUGAGCGAUGAAGGCCUUCGGGUCGUAAAGCUCUGUUGUUAGGGAAGAACAAGUGCGAGAGUAACUGCGCGCACCUUGACGGUACCUAACCAGAAAGCCACGGCUAACUACGUGCCAGCAGCCGCGGUAAUACGUAGGUGGCAAGCGUUGUCCGGAAUUAUUGGGCGUAAAGCGCGCGCAGGUGGUCCUUUAAGUCUGAUGUGAAAGCCCACGGCUCAACCGUGGAGGGUCAUUGGAAACUGGGGGACUUGAGUGCAGAAGAGGAAAGUGGAAUUCCAAGUGUAGCGGUGAAAUGCGUAGAGAUUUGGAGGAACACCAGUGGCGAAGGCGACUUUCUGGUCUGUAACUGACACUGAGGCGCGAAAGCGUGGGGAGCAAAC
This 423-nucleotide ribosomal RNA is filed under the name uncultured bacterium. RNAcentral describes it as "bacterial SSU rRNA". It matches the Rfam family "Bacterial small subunit ribosomal RNA", at positions 358 to 773 of the family's 1533-position model. The record is from RNAcentral.